AACAACAAAAAGACAAUGAAAACAAGAUUCGUAAAUACAUAUUGGUGGUGGCGCCCGUUACAACUCCUACAGUCGUAAGGGAGCAGCGCUCGUAUGUAUAUAUGUAAUCAGUAACUGAUAUCGGAAAGAGCCCUG
Molecule: non-coding RNA, 135 nt
Filed under: Bacteroides ndongoniae
Lineage: Bacteria; Pseudomonadati; Bacteroidota; Bacteroidia; Bacteroidales; Bacteroidaceae
Description: Bacteroidete tryptophan peptide leader RNA
Rfam family: Bacteroidete tryptophan peptide leader RNA
Source: RNAcentral